UGUAGGAUUUGAACCCACGGCAUCGGGUUUUGGAGACCCGCGUUCUACCGGACUGAACUGAAAGCGCUUUCUUA
RNAcentral lists this transfer RNA (74 nucleotides) under Taxus cuspidata (Japanese yew). Its description in RNAcentral is "tRNA-Trp". Lineage: Eukaryota; Viridiplantae; Streptophyta; Pinopsida; Cupressales; Taxaceae. The record is from RNAcentral.